AAAGGAAUUGACGGGGACCCGCACAAGCGGUGGAGCAUGUGGUUUAAUUCGAAGCAACGCGAAGAACCUUACCAAGUCUUGACAUCCUUUGACCACUCUAGAGAUAGAGCUUCCCCUUCGGGGGCAAAGUGACAGGUGGUGCAUGGUUGUCGUCAGCUCGUGUCGUGAGAUGUUGGGUUAAGUCCCGCAACGAGCGCAACCCUUAUCAUUAGUUGCCAGCAUUCAGUUGGGCACUCUAGUGAUACUGCCGGUGACAAACCGGAGGAAGGUGGGGAUGACGUCAAAUCAGCAUGCCCCUUAUGACUUGGGCUACACACGUGCUACAAUGGAUGGUACAACGAGCAGCGAACUCGCGAGAGUCAGCGAAUCUCUAAAAGCCAUUCUCAGUUCGGAUUGCAGGCUGCAACUCGCCUGCAUGAAGCCGGAAUCGCUAGUAAUCGCGGAUCAGCACGCCGCGGUGAAUCCGUUCCCGGGUCUUGUACACACCGCCCGU
RNAcentral lists this ribosomal RNA (493 nucleotides) under uncultured bacterium. RNAcentral describes it as "bacterial SSU rRNA". It matches the Rfam family "Bacterial small subunit ribosomal RNA", at positions 903 to 1397 of the family's 1533-position model. The record is from RNAcentral.